Molecule: ribosomal RNA, 459 nt
Filed under: uncultured bacterium
Lineage: Bacteria
Description: SSU rRNA
Rfam family: Bacterial small subunit ribosomal RNA
Source: RNAcentral
AGAAUCAACGCUGGCGGCGUGCCUAACACAUGCAAGUCGAACGAGAAAGUGGAGCAAUCCAUGAGUAAAGUGGCGCACGGGUGAGUAACACGUGACUAACCUACCCUGGAGUGGGGGAUAACUGAGGGAAACCUUAGCUAAUACCGCAUAAUACCUACGGGUCAAAGGAGCAAUUCGCUUCAGGAGGGGGUCGCGGCCGAUUAGUUAGUUGGCGGGGUAAUGGCCCACCAAGACAGUGAUCGGUAUCCGGCCUGAGAGGGCGCACGGACACACUGGAACUGAAACACGGUCCAGACUCCUACGGGAGGCAGCAGUGGGGAAUUUUGCGCAAUGGGGGAAACCCUGACGCAGCAACGCCGCGUGGAGGAUGAAGUCCUUCGGGACGUAAACUCCUUUCGAUCGGGACGAUUAUGACGGUACCGGAAGAAGAAGCCCCGGCUACUUCGUGCCAGCAGCCGC